CCAUCCUCGACCACUCCGCCAUCUCCCAGUAUUUCAUCGGCGUGACCGUGUUGGCGAUGGUGCCAGAAAUUCCUGAGAUCUUCAACGGAAUCCAGUUUGCCCUGCAGAAUAACAUCAGUCUCAGCUUGGAGGUGGGAAACUGCAUAGCAGUGCAAGUCUGCAUGAUUCAGAUUCCCUUACUCAUCUUGUUCAA
Molecule: long non-coding RNA, 193 nt
Organism: Salvelinus sp. IW2-2015
Lineage: Eukaryota; Metazoa; Chordata; Actinopteri; Salmoniformes; Salmonidae
Source: RefSeq, a predicted model, not a curated record